UUUAAGAUUCAACUUCAUGUUGUUGUAUUCAUCCCGCUUGAGAACGUUAACAGAAUGGGAGAGAAAAGCAUAAGAUAUAAAACAAACUGCGUUCACAAUUCACAUAGUACUUGCUGAACCACAAUUACCUCAAAAAGUUGUGCAUUUUAAUGCAAGAGACAUGAGAGAAAUCAGAUAGACAUAAGAGAAUAAGAACCAGUGUUAAAGAUGGCAUUACACGGAUUCAGAAGUCUUUGAUAUGGGCGGGCCGUGAGGAAUAUAGCCAGAGGGAGCCUGAGUAUAAGCGCCAUAAGGAGGAUCAUAGCCAGCGUGAGGCUGAGAUGUGUGUGGCAGAUAGAGGUGUAGGUAUGCCUGAUGAUGGCCAUAAGCAGUGUUCCACUGAUGCGGUUGUGCAGGACCGAGUCUUGAGCUUGUGACCAAGUCUGAAAUUGUUAGUUUUCGCACAUUUCAUCCUAUCUGAAGCUAUGUGGAGAGUAACUGAUACAUCUUCUCUCUCAGAAGAACUUGCAGCAGCAUUUGGAUUUAUAAAAUUUUCAAUAAGUGGCUUAAACUGAGAUGGCUUUGGAAAGUUAAAACCACACCAAAACUUAAAUCUUUUUUUUCUUUGUCUGGAUAAAGAAAGGGGGUUACAUGUAUACUUCAGUUGCACAAGCUAUGUGGAGAGUAGCCCAAUUACCACAUCAAUCACUCAAUGAUCCUAAUCUCUGUUUCGAAACCAACAAUAUAGACUGCUAACCUAAAUGAAGAGAGAGAGAGAGAGAGAGAGAAGCCUAAUUAAGUUUUUUACAAGAGUAUUUAUCGCAGAUCAUAAGAAGGGUUCGCAAUCGCUGCAUCGUCUCCGCCUUUGAUUUGAUAUUUCUCUUCCGUUUGCUGCACUUUCGAUCCACUGUUGAUAUUGCGAGAGACAUCGAAGUUAGAUCAAAUGGGUUCUUCUUCUUCUUCUUCGUCGGGACAUUCUCGAUAGCCUCUUUGAGCAAAGUUAGAUCGAAAGAUGAUGAAUCGCCACCAUCGUUGAUCUCAAUCCCUUCUUUUUCGGUUUUCUGCUUUGACUUUGCCAUUACCCUCACGCAGAGAAUCAACUUGCUAGCUUUUUAACCACUUUUAUAGAGAAACACGCCAUCUGUUGUUCUAUUGGGCCACCUUUAGUCAAGUAACAUUGGGCUAACAACAUAGUAAAGCAUUUAUGUUUUUUUGGGAAAUUGAUAUGUAUGACCAUGAAAAAAAUGUAAUUCAUUAGAUAACCAAAUGCCCUAAAUUUUCGAAACACCCAUUCCACUUUAUGUAAUAAUGCUAUUUUGCCUUCAAUGCCAACCGGUGAAACCUGAAAAAAAAAUAAAAAUAAAAAAUCCUAGUUAUUAGAUGUUUCAAAUUACUCGUGGCGUAAUUAUAUUCACAUCUUUCCUUUUAUCUUUAUUUGGUAAAUUUUGAGAAAUUGAUCCACGGUUUUCUCCAUCUCUCCGAACCACGUUUUUCUCCACCUCUUCGAACCACGUUUUCC
Molecule: long non-coding RNA, 1498 nt
Filed under: Brassica rapa (field mustard)
Lineage: Eukaryota; Viridiplantae; Streptophyta; Magnoliopsida; Brassicales; Brassicaceae
Description: long non-coding RNA (BRAP_LNC000491)
Source: RNAcentral